UACGGAGGGUGCAAACGUUGCUCGGAAUCACUGGGCGUAAAGCGCACGUAGGCGGCUCGAAAAGUCGGAUGUGAAAGCCCUGGGCUCAACCUAGGAAGUGCAUUCGAAACUGCCGAGCUUGAGUACGGGAGAGGGUUGCGGAAUUCCCGGUGUAGAGGUGAAAUUCGUAGAUAUCGGGAGGAACACCAGUGGCGAAGGCGGCAGGCUGGACCGAUACUGACGCUGAGGUGCGAAAGCGUGGGGAGCAAACAGG
This 253-nucleotide ribosomal RNA is filed under the name uncultured bacterium. RNAcentral's name for it is "partial 16S ribosomal RNA". It matches the Rfam family "Bacterial small subunit ribosomal RNA", at positions 524 to 776 of the family's 1533-position model. The record is from RNAcentral.